UACGUAGGCAGCGAGCGUUGUUCGGAGUUACUGGGCGUAAAGGGUGUGUAGGCGGUUGUUUAAGUUUGGUGUGAAAUCUCCCGGCUCAACUGGGAGGGUGCGCCGAAUACUGAAUGACUUGGAGUGCGGGAGAGGAAAGUGGAAUUCCUGGUGUAGCGGUGAAAUGCGUAGAUAUCAGGAGGAACACCGGUGGUGUAGACGGCUUUCUGGGCCGUAACUGACGCUGAGACACGAAAGCGUGGGUAGCAAACAGG
RNAcentral lists this ribosomal RNA (254 nucleotides) under uncultured bacterium. Its description in RNAcentral is "partial 16S ribosomal RNA". It matches the Rfam family "Bacterial small subunit ribosomal RNA", at positions 524 to 776 of the family's 1533-position model. The record is from RNAcentral.